GGUUCGAUGGCGUAGUUGGUUAUCGCAUCUGUCUAACACGCCGAAGGUCCUCAGUGAGAGCCUGGAUCGAAUCA
RNAcentral lists this transfer RNA (74 nucleotides) under Agrocybe pediades. RNAcentral describes it as "tRNA-Val". It matches the Rfam family "tRNA". From Rfam's summary of the family: Transfer RNA (tRNA) molecules are approximately 80 nucleotides in length. Their secondary structure includes four short double-helical elements and three loops (D, anti-codon, and T loops). Further hydrogen bonds mediate the characteristic L-shaped molecular structure. tRNAs have two regions of fundamental functional importance: the anti-codon, which is responsible for specific mRNA codon recognition, and the 3' end, to which the tRNAs corresponding amino acid is attached (by aminoacyl-tRNA synthetases). tRNAs cope with the degeneracy of the genetic code in two manners: having more than one tRNA (with a specific anti-codon) for a particular amino acid; and 'wobble' base-pairing, i.e. permitting non-standard base-pairing at the 3rd anti-codon position. The record is from RNAcentral. Lineage: Eukaryota; Fungi; Basidiomycota; Agaricomycetes; Agaricales; Agrocybaceae.